GAUGAAGAACGCAGCGAAAUGCGAUAAGUAAUGUGAAUUGCAGAAUUCAGUGAAUCAUCGAGUCUUUGAACGCACAUUGCGCCCCCUGGUAUUCCGGGGGGCAUGCCUGUCCGAGCGUCAUUGCUGCCCUCAAGCACGGCUUGUGUGUUGGGCCCCCGUCCCCGGUUUCCCCCGGGGACGGGCCCGAAAGGCAGCGGCGGCACCGCGUCCGGUCCUCGAGCGUAUGGGGCUUUGUCACCCGCUCUGUAGGCCCGGCCGGCGCCAGCCGACAACCCAUCAUCCUUUUCAGGUUGACCUCGGAUCAGGUAGGGAUACCCGCUGAACUUAAGCAUAUCAAUAAGCGGAGGA
Molecule: unclassified non-coding RNA, 348 nt
Filed under: soil metagenome
Description: partial contains 5.8S ribosomal RNA, internal transcribed spacer 2, and large subunit ribosomal RNA
Rfam family: 5.8S ribosomal RNA (bases 1-120)
Source: RNAcentral